CCUGGUAGUCCACCCCGUAAACGAUGAGUGCUAAGUGUUAGGGGGUUUCCGCCCCUUAGUGCUGCAGCUAACGCAUUAAGCACUCCGCCUGGGGAGUACGGUCGCAAGACUGAAACUCAAAGGAAUUGACGGGGGCCCGCACAAGCGGUGGAGCAUGUGGUUUAAUUCGAAGCAACGCGAAGAACCUUACCAGGUCUUGACAUCCUCUGACAA
RNAcentral lists this ribosomal RNA (213 nucleotides) under uncultured Bacillus sp. RNAcentral's name for it is "partial 16S ribosomal RNA". It matches the Rfam family "Bacterial small subunit ribosomal RNA", at positions 786 to 997 of the family's 1533-position model. Lineage: Bacteria; Bacillati; Bacillota; Bacilli; Caryophanales; Bacillaceae. The record is from RNAcentral.